GACUACGGCCAUGCCACCCUGAACAAGUCUGAUCUCGGAAGCUACGCAGGGUUGGGCCUGGUUAGUACUUGGAUGGGAGACCACCUAGGAAGACCAGGUGCUGUAGGUA
This 109-nucleotide ribosomal RNA is filed under the name Pteropus alecto (black flying fox). Lineage: Eukaryota; Metazoa; Chordata; Mammalia; Chiroptera; Pteropodidae. The record is from RNAcentral.